RNAcentral lists this ribosomal RNA (468 nucleotides) under uncultured bacterium. RNAcentral's name for it is "partial 16S ribosomal RNA". It matches the Rfam family "Bacterial small subunit ribosomal RNA", at positions 28 to 507 of the family's 1533-position model. The record is from RNAcentral.
GACGAACGCUGGCGGCGUGCUUAACACAUGCAAGUCGAACGGAAAGGCCCUGCUUUUGUGGGGUGCUCGAGUGGCGAACGGGUGAGUAACACGUGAGUAACCUGCCCUUGACUUUGGGAUAACUUCAGGAAACUGGGGCUAAUACCGGAUAGGAGCUCCUGCUGCAUGGUGGGGGUUGGAAAGUUUCGGCGGUUGGGGAUGGACUCGCGGCUUAUCAGCUUGUUGGUGGGGUAGUGGCUUACCAAGGCUUUGACGGGUAGCCGGCCUGAGAGGGUGACCGGCCACAUUGGGACUGAGAUACGGCCCAGACUCCUACGGGAGGCAGCAGUGGGGAGUAUUGCACAAUGGGCGGAAGCCUGAUGCAGCAACGCCGCGUGCGGGAUGACGGCCUUCGGGUUGUAAGCCGCUUUCGCCUGUGACGAAGCGUGAGUGACGGUAAUGGGUAAAGAAGCACCGGCUAACUACGUG